AGUAAUGUAUGGGGAUCUGCCUGAUGGAGGGGGAUAACUACUGGAAACGGUAGCUAAUACCGCAUAACGUCGCAAGACCAAAGAGGGGGACCUUAGGGCCUCUUGCCAUCGGAUGUGCCCAGAUGGGAUUAGCUAGUAGGUGGGGUAAUGGCUCACCUAGGCGACGAUCCCUAGCUGGUCUGAGAGGAUGACCAGCCACACUGGAACUGAGACACGGUCCAG
This 222-nucleotide ribosomal RNA is filed under the name uncultured bacterium. RNAcentral's name for it is "partial 16S ribosomal RNA". It matches the Rfam family "Bacterial small subunit ribosomal RNA", at positions 109 to 334 of the family's 1533-position model. The record is from RNAcentral.